UACGUAGGGUGCAAGCGUUAAUCGGAAUUACUGGGCGUAAAGCGUGCGCAGGCGGUCGUGCAAGACAGAUGUGAAAAUCCCCGGGCUCAACCUGGGAAUUGCAUUUGUGACUGCACGGCUAGAGUGUGUCAGAGGGGGGUAGAAUUCCACGUGUAGCAGUGAAAUGCGUAGAGAUGUGGAGGAAUACCGAUGGCGAAGGCAGCCCCUGGGAUAACACUGACGCUCAUGCACGAAAGCGUGGGGAGCAAACAGG
RNAcentral lists this ribosomal RNA (253 nucleotides) under uncultured bacterium. Its description in RNAcentral is "partial 16S ribosomal RNA". It matches the Rfam family "Bacterial small subunit ribosomal RNA", at positions 524 to 776 of the family's 1533-position model. The record is from RNAcentral.